RNAcentral lists this long non-coding RNA (387 nucleotides) under Sorghum bicolor (sorghum). RNAcentral describes it as "long non-coding RNA (SBIC_LNC012037)". Lineage: Eukaryota; Viridiplantae; Streptophyta; Magnoliopsida; Poales; Poaceae. The record is from RNAcentral.
AGGGUAUUUCUGAUUUUCUAUACCUGCAGUUUAACACUGUUAGAGUCAAAUCUGAUUGAAGUGGCGUAGAAGGCAAAAGAGUUUAGAGUAGUGGCACCUAUAAGAACUUAACUUUUUUAAUAAUUUAUAGGUAAUUGUAAACUUUUAUAAUGGCAUAUCGGUAAAAGCCUCUUCUUUUUGAUUGCUGCGCUUACUAGUUGGGUGUUGGUUUGUACCAUGGGUCUGGGACUAUCAGCUAUGUACGGUCCCCGAAUGAUAGAGGCUGGAACUUGUUCCCUUAUCUAAAAAUAAAAGUACUCACGAGUGUAUAAAAUGACCAUGCCGCUUGAAACUUUUUCCAGAGUAGAUUUCCAUAUAUAAAAUUAGCUAUACACAUUUAGCUUCACG